AUCUGCCUGAGAGUGUGGAAUAACCUGGGGAAACUCGGACUAAUACCGCAUACGCUCGCAUGGUUGCGACCAUGCGAGGAAAGUUGGCCUCUGUUUACAAGCUGACGCUCCCAGAGGAGUCCGCGCCUGAUUAGCUAGUUGGUGGGGUAAUGGCCUACCAAGGCGACGAUCAGUAGCCGGCCCUGAGAGGGUGACCGGCCACACUGGGACUGAGACGACGGCCCAG
Molecule: ribosomal RNA, 226 nt
Filed under: uncultured bacterium
Lineage: Bacteria
Description: partial 16S ribosomal RNA
Rfam family: Bacterial small subunit ribosomal RNA
Source: RNAcentral